GCGCCCGUAGCUCAAUUGGAUAGAGCAUCUGGCUACGAACCAGAAGGUUGGGUGUUCAACUCACCCCGGGCGCG
This 74-nucleotide transfer RNA is filed under the name Candidatus Omnitrophota bacterium. RNAcentral's name for it is "tRNA-Arg". It matches the Rfam family "tRNA". Rfam says of the family: Transfer RNA (tRNA) molecules are approximately 80 nucleotides in length. Their secondary structure includes four short double-helical elements and three loops (D, anti-codon, and T loops). Further hydrogen bonds mediate the characteristic L-shaped molecular structure. tRNAs have two regions of fundamental functional importance: the anti-codon, which is responsible for specific mRNA codon recognition, and the 3' end, to which the tRNAs corresponding amino acid is attached (by aminoacyl-tRNA synthetases). tRNAs cope with the degeneracy of the genetic code in two manners: having more than one tRNA (with a specific anti-codon) for a particular amino acid; and 'wobble' base-pairing, i.e. permitting non-standard base-pairing at the 3rd anti-codon position. The record is from RNAcentral. Lineage: Bacteria; Pseudomonadati; Candidatus Omnitrophota.